UCUGCAUUGGGAAUACAAGGUCAUGUGAUGCUGGUUCUGGUCACCUCAGCUUUGAUUUAAACAGCCAGGUGAUGCUUGGAGUGGACAACUUGAGACGGGUCAAAAAGCAAGUCUGUACCUCAAUUGCUGCAUAAUUCCGGUAUUUCCAAGGCGUUGUUUACCAAAACACAUCUAAAUGACCUGAAAAACCAGCUGAACCAGAUAAAGAAGACUGGCUUGCUGACCAGCCUCCUGUGCUGAUGAAGAGCCUGGUCAUACACCAUCAUAGGGUCUGACCUUUCCACCGCCGGCCCUUGAGAACCUGGCCCUUGGGUUUGCCUGUGGUCUCCAGGUCCAGAUUGAGAGAAGAAGGUCCUCUGAUGGCUCAAAAAGCUUCUGGUGGACUUCUCCAGCUCUGCCAGGCCUGUUUGGCAGAUGGCACAACCCAUCAAUAGGCACAGCUGCAGCCCAGACCCUAACAAGCCUGGCAUAAGUGUUCAUGCUCAUGCCCAGGUGUCAUAAAGUGUAACAGGGGGAAGAUGGCCUGAAUUUCAGGCUAAUUGAUGUUAAUGCACCAUCUGCUGAACAAUGCAGCAGACAGAACCAGACAAAAGACUCUCUGGACUGAGGGAACAUCAACGUUGUGGGGUCAAAAUGGGAGGGGCCUAUAUAUAUAUAUAUGUGUGUGUGUGUGUGUGAAAAUAUAAAUACUGUUUAAUUUUUAUACUUGUGUGUCCUAAAGUCUUAACUUUAAACAUGCAAACUUCCUUUCUGUUUACUUAUAACUUAAAAUCUACAUAGUUAAUUUUCUAUGCAGCCCAUAUUUGACACUAGCUAGAUUAUUUUACCUCUUUACCUACCUGUGACCUUUGCAAGCUCUGUAUACGCUAUUUUAUAUAAACAUAGCAACACACACAAGCUUUUGUUUCUGAAACAGCUGGAGAGCGUCCGUGUUUUUCUCUGGGGAGUUUGGGGGAGGUACGACUGACACCUCACACAUAAUAGUGAUCCAAUAAAAACAGGGGGCAAGGAUGGGCCAGUCGAUGUGUGUCAAGGGGGGUGACCGGGUACACGAUUGAUCUAGUAAAGUUUGAAAUAUACAUUAAGUGACAAACCUUAUUUCAUCAUGAAACUGUCACAUGAUGUCACCAGUUGUUAUUCUCUAUGCGUUCCUAUGCAAUUGAAAUCUUCAUAAUAUCCAUCUCA
This is a long non-coding RNA of Paramisgurnus dabryanus, 1185 nucleotides long. RefSeq lists it as uncharacterized. Lineage: Eukaryota; Metazoa; Chordata; Actinopteri; Cypriniformes; Cobitidae. The record is from RefSeq and is a predicted model, not a curated record.